UGGAAAGUUGCUGAUUUAUUUUCACCAUUUCUCCAAGGAUAGUUUGAAAAAGUAACUGUCAGAUCCCAAAGUCAGUAGGAUGGCAGCAAGAAUCCAUCUCAUACAGCAAAAAGGCAAUGUCAGAGUGGUCUGAAAUUGAACACUGCUGUUAAUGGCACAGUUGCUUUGGCCUGCAAGGGAGAAGAAGCACUGAGGACAUCGUGAGGACUUUCAUCUCUCACUCAUGUUUGCUGAGGGUAGAAGGCAUCACCGUGCUUCCUGACCAGGUCCCAGAAUUAAGU
This is a long non-coding RNA of Fukomys damarensis (Damara mole-rat), 281 nucleotides long. RefSeq lists it as uncharacterized. The record is from RefSeq and is a predicted model, not a curated record. The transcript is spliced from 3 exons. NCBI's taxonomy places the organism in Eukaryota, Metazoa, Chordata, Mammalia, Rodentia, Bathyergidae.